AAUAUUGGACAAUGGGGGCAACCCUGAUCCAGCCAUGCCGUGUGUGUGAAGAAGGUCUUCGGUGUGUAAAGCACUUUAAGUUGGGAGGAAGGGCUUUAGGUUAAUACCCUGAGGUUUUGACGUUACCAAUAGAAUAAGCACCGGCUAACUCUGUGCCAGCAGCCGCGGUAAUACAGAGGGUGCAAGCGUUAAUCGGAAUUACUGGCCGUAAAGCGCGCGUAGGUGGUUCAGUAAGAUGGGUGUGAAAUCCCCGGGCUUAACCUGGAAACUGCUUUCAUAACUGCUGGGCUAGAGUACGGUAGAGAGUAGUGGAAUUUCCUGUGUAGCGGUGAAAUGCGUAGAUAUAGGAAGGAACACCAGUGGCGAAGGCGACUACCUGGACUGAUACUGACACUGAGGUGCGAAAGCGUGGGGAGCAAACA
Molecule: ribosomal RNA, 422 nt
Filed under: uncultured bacterium
Lineage: Bacteria
Description: partial 16S ribosomal RNA
Rfam family: Bacterial small subunit ribosomal RNA
Source: RNAcentral